Molecule: transfer RNA, 67 nt
Filed under: Florisuga fusca
Lineage: Eukaryota; Metazoa; Chordata; Aves; Apodiformes; Trochilidae
Description: tRNA-Ser
Source: RNAcentral
GAGGGGAGGUUUAAACCAACAAGAACUGCUAAUUCCUGCAUCUGAGCCUAAAAUCUCAGUCCCCUUA